Oncorhynchus masou masou (cherry salmon) is the source of this 321-nucleotide non-coding RNA. NCBI's taxonomy places the organism in Eukaryota, Metazoa, Chordata, Actinopteri, Salmoniformes, Salmonidae. The record is from the annotation of a RefSeq genome assembly.
AUGGUGGUGUUUGUAAAAAGUGUUCAUGGUCAGACACUGACUGAGUCUGGACCAGUGGUUAAAAAGCCUGAAGAAUCCCACAAACUGGCCUGUACAGGCUCUGUGUUUACUUUCAGUAGCUUCUGCAUGGCUUGGAUCAGACAGGUUCCCGGGAAAGGACUAGAAUUUAUGGCAGCAUAUUAUAACAGCACAAAUAUUGCCUCCUCCCAGUCUGUUCAGGGUUGGUUCAUCAUCUCCAGAGACAACAGCAAGCAGCAGGUGUAUCUCCAGAUGAACAGCCUGAAGACUCUGCUGUUUAUUAUUGUGCCAGAGACACAGUGA